GCUGGGCACGGUAGUACAUGCCUGUAAUCCCAGUGGCUCAGGAGGCUGAAGCAGGAGGAUUGCAGGUUCAAAACCAGCCUGAGCAACAGUGAGGCCCUAAGCAACUCAGUGAGACUCUGUUUCUA
This 125-nucleotide small RNA is filed under the name Marmota monax (woodchuck). Lineage: Eukaryota; Metazoa; Chordata; Mammalia; Rodentia; Sciuridae. The record is from RNAcentral.